RNAcentral lists this ribosomal RNA (290 nucleotides) under uncultured bacterium. RNAcentral describes it as "partial 16S ribosomal RNA". It matches the Rfam family "Bacterial small subunit ribosomal RNA", at positions 775 to 1060 of the family's 1533-position model. The record is from RNAcentral.
GUUGAUUAGAUACCCUGGUAGUCCAUGCCGUAAACGUUGGGCACUAGGUGUGGGGACCAUUCCACGGUUUCCGCGCCGCAGCUAACGCAUUAAGUGCCCCGCCUGGGGAGUACGGCCGCAAGGCUAAAACUCAAAGGAAUUGACGGGGGCCCGCACAAGCGGCGGAGCAUGCGGAUUAAUUCGAUGCAACGCGAAGAACCUUACCAAGGCUUGACAUGUUCUCGAUCGCCGUAGAGAUACGGUUUCCCCUUUGGGGCGGGUUCACAGGUGGUGCACGGUCGUCGACAACU